This is an RNA transcript of Quercus robur (English oak), 1394 nucleotides long. RefSeq lists it as uncharacterized. The transcript is spliced from 12 exons. The record is from RefSeq and is a predicted model, not a curated record. NCBI's taxonomy places the organism in Eukaryota, Viridiplantae, Streptophyta, Magnoliopsida, Fagales, Fagaceae.
AAGCCACACGGUCCAGACCCCAACGAAAAGAAAAGGCGUGCUCAAUUUUACUUCACCAGAAAGCGGAAAGCAGUGUCUGUAGUACAACCAUAAGAAUGCGAGCUCUGCAACUGAGCAAGAAAACUCUCUCUCGUACUCUCUUCCUCGCCACCUCCACUUCCUCUUCCUCAUCACCGUACCGAACUAUAACCACCGCCGCUCUACUAUCCUCACCCGCCUGUCACAACCACAUCCACCGCUGCUCCGACACGUGGCUCUCCGCCUCAUCAUCCGCCAACCUCCUCCGCUCUCCUUGGUCCCUCACUCAACACCGCGGGAUCAGAGUCUCCGGUUCCGAUGUCAAAGUCGGAAACGUGAUCGAGAAAAAAGGACGUAUUUACCAGGUGGUUAAGACAGAUCAUUCACAUGAAGGAAGAGGCAAGGCCACUAUAAAGGUGGAGCUUCGUGACAUUGAAAGUGGAAACAAAGUGUCUCAACGAUUGGGUACCGAUGAGAGUGUUGAAAGAGUAUUUGUUCAAGAGAAAACUUACAUGUAUAUGUGCACUGAUCGCAAUGGCACUAUAGUCCUGAUGGACGUUAAAACGUUUGAUCAGCUGGAAGUGUCCCAGGAGUUGUUUGGCAAAGAUGCGAAGUAUUUACAAGGUGAGAUGAGAGUUAUUGUAAGGCUUUAUGAUGAUAUACCUUUAUCUGCAUCGGUUCCAAAACGCGUGACAUGUAUUGUCAAGGAAGCACAAGAUCCUAUGAAAGGGGUCCCAGCCCCACCUAACUGAAGAAACACAAUCUUCUUAUUCAACCAGCUAGCUGACCUUGUAAUUGCUAAAGUUUGUUUAUCAGAGGUGUUCACUAAUUGUCUAACUGUGGACCAUGCGUACACCUUGGCCUGUAUGAUGAGACUGGCAUGUACUGUAUUGUCUAAUGAAGGCUGUCAUGCUUGCAAUUGAAUGUGAUUUUCUGUCCUAUUGUCCCCUUUGACAAUGCAAAAUCAAAGGAUAAAAAGGUUGUAUUGGAAAAUGGCCUGACUGUUGAGGUGCCAAUGUUCGUCGUAGCCGGUGAUGCUGUAGUUAUUAAUACUGAGACUGACUCUUAUGUAGAGAGGGCUAAGGCAUAAUCUUGUGUUGGCUUUAUUCUGAAGGAGAUAUGGAAUGUCAAAUUGUGCACCAUGCAUAUCUCUGGUUCCUACGGAAAUCAAUCUUUCAAUUCAUCGAUUUUAGACAAUUUGCUCGUACCUACACAUGGUAUUUAAACUUGAGGUAUAUGAGACCUACAGGAUUUUUAUUUUUAUUUUUUAGAUUCUAAAAAAGUGCGGUGAGGCAAUGGGAGAUGACACAAUUUGUGAAACAUGGAGAGCUUUAUACAUAUUUUCUAUGAAUAAAUUCAUACUGUUUUGGUACUUA